Sinocyclocheilus rhinocerous is the source of this 93-nucleotide long non-coding RNA. RefSeq lists it as uncharacterized. NCBI's taxonomy places the organism in Eukaryota, Metazoa, Chordata, Actinopteri, Cypriniformes, Cyprinidae. The transcript is spliced from 3 exons. The record is from RefSeq and is a predicted model, not a curated record.
GUACUCGCUUUUUAUAUUAUUCACUUUACUACAACUUGUACUACAUAUACUUUUUAAUAUUACAUAUCACUUUUACUAUAUUUUUACUGUACA